CACUGUUGCCUGUGGAUACAGGUGUGCCUUCAUACUGAUGUGCCUUUCAUAUAAAUUUUUAUUCUAGAGGUUGAAGUGUUUCUUUGUGGCUGUCUGAAAUGUAUCAUGCUCACCAGUCUAUAGAAGAGUUCUUGGAAGAGCUCACCAGUUGCUCCUGCUAUAGGAAUAUCCACUAAACAAGAGGGAAAAAAAGCACAAAGCAAAGGAUGAUACCAAAAUUUCCUUUUUUUUUUUUUUCAUUUGGUUGAAGGCACAAAACUUCCUUCACUGUGAAGUGCAGCCUCCAAGCAGUGAUGUAACAGAGAAGAUGAUGUGUUCAUGGUGGUAACCACACAACUCAACUGAUGAAAUCAAGAUGGUCUUUGGUACAGGAGUCUUUGCAGUCCCAUCUCUUUGAGUGCAGUCCUCAAAAUGUGGUAAAAAAGAAUUGCAUUGAUCACAUUUCUCACAAUACAUCUAAGAGAAAACAUGCGAAGGAUGAGAAACAUUUAACACCCUCUGGCCCUCCCAUUCUGCAUUUCGGAUGACUGACAUUGUCUCCAGCCUCCUCUCAGCACAAUGAACAUCCCGGUGACUAAUCCAUGUGCCACAUCUGUUGCUGUGAUCAGAGGAGACAGGACCAGGACACAGAAGAAUAUCCGCCUAUUAGUUGUACAGAGCGGCACAAGGCUUCGUUAUGUCAGACACCAGGGAAUACCUAACCUGAACUCUAUAUGGACCACCCGCUCAGAAAGUUUCAUGGACAUCACCAGUGGAAGAAACUCCCUGGUUGUGCAGCGCAUUGAGAGACACGAGCCACGAAGCAGCAAUGGGGGCUUUUGGGCUGAUUCCUGCAGAGCAUCCUGCUUUCCAUCACUCAAAUAAUGAUAGAACUCGGGUCCACCUGGUUCAUUCUGUGGGUCAGUUCCCUCCCUGGCCCCUGGUGCCAAUCUCAUGCCUGUCCCAUGGGGCCGAGUGAUGUACAGGGGGGGUCACAGGCAGAGGUUUGCUCCUGCAAGGGCACCUCUAGCCCAGAACACAGCGGGGAGGGCGACUGGAACAGGCCGGGGGCAGCCUCACGUCAGAGCUGUGCCACCAGACACUGAGCCAUGGACUCACCUUCACAGAACCAACGGGCUUCCCACCAUAACGAGGAUAAUGCAGGAAGACAGCAGGCUGCAGGUACCAAAGGCAACCACCUGCUCCUGCCCAUCCACUGGACUUGACUGCCUGCCAUGCUUUUUGGUCAUCCACCUGCCAGCAGUUUUCUUGAAGGCUGAAGAAACCAGAGUCCUCCCAGAAGCAGAAGAAAGCCUCACCAUACUAUUUUCUGUGGUUCAUCCUGUGUCCUUGAUGGCCAGACUUUCUGGCUGCUGCCUUUGUCCAGGAAAUUGGGAGCCUUUUCCUCAUACACUUGGGCUCAGACUUGAUUUAAAGCACUGCUAGGCUUCUUAGAUCUAUUUUGUCUUAGCCUGUUCAGACAAGCCUGCAGGCAGAUCCCAUUAGCACCUCCUCUUCCCCCCACCUUGGAGAAGUCCCUUUGCGUGACCCGGAGGGCGAUGAGCAGCUGGAAGUGUAAACUCAGAGACAAGCAGCGCCUGCCGCGGUGAGCACACGUGCAGCCACCAACUAAUUCACCCACUGAGGCUGUGCAGAUACCUCCUUCAGAAAUAAGAAGCAGAAGGAAAACAUCCAAGCAGAAGAAUCAGAAGGCAAAGAAAUGGAUGGGGAUUGCAAGUGAAAAAUUAAUGAGGAGAGACCUCAUUUCACAAAGCUUACAUAAAGCCGGGCUGCAUCUGUGCACGGAACGGUGACCCAGAAAGAGAAAUCUGUAAAAAUUUAGAGCAAGGUGCAAAACUCGGUAGCCUCUUGCCCUCUGAGAAGCACCUACAUUCACAAACAAGGCUCCCUUGUUUACAGCCACUGCGAGCUCAUCUUUGAAAUUUCCAACUCAUUCACACUCCCCUCCAGCAGGUCCCGGCUCGGGGAGCAGCAGGGAGGUCUCAGAGCUCCUAGAGAAGGUCACCACUGAUGGCAAGUCCAGAGAAACCAUGAUGUGGGAUCAGCAUGGCUCAUCUCACAUUUAUUUGGGAAUAUCAAACCUCCGUAUGCAGCCAUUUUUUUUCUAUCCAUCCAUAUAUACGUAUAAAUGUUACAUAUAUAUAUAUGUAUAUAUAUAUAAAUAAAAGCAUUUAGCUUCUGGCCAAGAUUAAACCUUUUGUAACACCAUUGCUGUCCAUCCGGCUGCCUGACAAGACUUCCUUUUCUGGAAACCUUGGGAUUGUUCCCGGUGUAGGCAAGCAGGUAAAAAUCCGUGUUUGUGGGUGCAGCAGAAGUCUGCAGGAAGUCAUUCUUCCUGAAAAAGAAUAUUUAUAUAUAUAUAUAAAUGGCACCUGGAUAGUACUUAAAGGAUGGGGAAUAUUUCUCAUUAUUUUACAGUUCAAACCCUCAAUUAAUGGGCAUCUCCUUUCAUAGCUGAUCCCAGAAGAAAAAGGCUUUUAGUACCUUGUGUGACAGGGCUAAGAUUCUCACCCCAAAGGCUCACUGCUUAAUACCUGAAAAGAGAACUCUUCAGUUUGCCGGGAGGAGAGAGGAGCAUCCGCAGGAGUGCCAAAGCAGCACGAUAGUUUGAAUUACACCCCUUGCUCAGUCGCCUGUUGCCCAGAGAGGAAACUCCGAGGAGAAUGAUUUAAAAUGAAAACUUUUGUCUUCUAUAUUAAGAACAUCUCAGAUAAUACUGAACAGCUCACUCUGCUGUUAAUGGGUCUCCAGGUAUUAACAGAGUACUUCUGUCUCCUACUAAUUUCUCCUGCCAAGCUUUGCCUUACAGUUUGAAUAAAGGGCUCAAGGCAUCAUGCAUCUGCUAUAGAAUUGCAUGCAUAAGUAGCAUCAUUCAUUAGCAGACAGUCCAAUUCGAUUGUUUCCAAACCAGAAAGGACAGUUGUCAGCCGCCUCCCAGAAUGGAUUCAAAGGCUAUAAUCAAGAAGUCUUCUCCAAGAAGUUGUUCAAAGCUGGAGCUUAUCACUCUUCAAAAGACUGUGAAGACAAUAAACUACUCAAUUUACUCUAAUGAACAGGUGCAAUCUCAGUAUUUAGUGUCUCAUUAAUAUUGACUGGCAAGACUUAAAGGAAUUUGAAUGCCAUGGAUGUCAGCUGCUACACUGGCAAGGCAUGAAACAGUGAUGAUAAAUAUUUGUACUUCCACAAGAGGCUAAUUCCAGUUUAUUUUCCAAGGUGUUAACUAUUGAAAUAAAUGAAGUUUAAAACUUGCACGUGGUGAAUCUGUUCAGAUUUCCCUUUGAAACAAUCACUGUUAGUUCUCAUAAGGUUGCAAGGAGCCACCGUACAAUA
Molecule: long non-coding RNA, 3330 nt
Organism: Calidris pugnax (ruff)
Lineage: Eukaryota; Metazoa; Chordata; Aves; Charadriiformes; Scolopacidae
Exons: 7
Source: RefSeq, a predicted model, not a curated record